RNAcentral lists this long non-coding RNA (1170 nucleotides) under Oryctolagus cuniculus (rabbit). RNAcentral describes it as "lncRNA (ENSOCUG00000035582.1)". Lineage: Eukaryota; Metazoa; Chordata; Mammalia; Lagomorpha; Leporidae. The record is from RNAcentral.
AUGGACUUGAGCCCGCUUGCAAUUGGCCAGAUUUUGUAUAUAAGCUGUGUGCUGAGGAAGGAGGGGGCUUUCCUGUCCACUCUCCUCCCUUCAUUCUUUCUCUGUCACUGUUAUUUUCUCAUUAAAAGUCUACUGAAGACCGAUAAGCUGCGAACAGUGUCGUUUCUUUGCGGGCAAGGGAGCGACAAGUGGUUCCAUGACUCGGAUUCGGACCACUUUCUACACGCAGGAAUAGGUAAGGAACAAAAGAUAGGUUAAGCCUACAGCCUCCACCUGCAAGGCCUGAGUCCCACAUGUGCACCAGUUCAUAUCUCAGCUGCUCCACUUCUGAUCCAGCUCCCUGAUAAUAUAAUAGCCUGGGCAAAGCAACAGAAGAUGGUCCAAGUUCGGGCCUCUACCACCCACGUGGGAGAAGUUACUGCCUCCUGGCUUCAGCCUGCCCAAGCCCAACUUUUGCAGCGCUUUGGUGAGUGAACCAGCAGAUGGAAAAUUGCUAUUUCUCUGUCUCUUCCUCUUUCUGUGCAUCUUUUUCAAAAAAGUCAUAAAUCUUAAAAGUUCUUCCAUGGCCCGUGCUUUGGUAUUCUAUCUAAAAAGUCUUUACCACUUCUAAAAUCAUUGAGAUUUCUCUUAUGCUAUUUCCUAGCAGUUUUAUAGUUUUACAUUUUACCCUUAGGUCUGUGGUAAAUUGUGAGUUUAUUUUUUUGAAAAGUUCAAUUCUUAGGGUUUUUUGUUUUGCUUGUUUUUCAUAUGCAUGUUAAGUUGUUCUGAGUUGAUUUGUUGAAAUCAUGAUCUUAAAGCCUUUUAAUUGCCUCAUUCCUUUAUCAAAGGCAGUUGACUAUUUCUACCUAGGGUGUACCUGUGGACUUUCCAUUAGGUUCUAUCUACUUAUUUGUCUACUAUUUUAUCAACACCACACUCUCUCAGAAGCCUUAACUUUAUAGUAAUUCUUCAAAUUAGGUAAUAUGUGUCUUCCUCCUAUAUUUGUUCCUUUAAUAUGAAGUUGCUUUUGAGUAUUUUGCAUCUCUUUAUAAAAUUUAAAAUCAGGUUGUGAAUAUCAACAAUCUACUGAUUUUGAGAUUAUGAUUGAAUUAUGUUCAAUAUAUGAAUUGACAUUUGUAACUGGCAUCUUGACAAUAUUAAGUGAUCCUAUCCAUAAACAUUGAUUAUUUC